Molecule: ribosomal RNA, 253 nt
Filed under: uncultured bacterium
Lineage: Bacteria
Also listed under: 1 other name
Description: partial 16S ribosomal RNA
Rfam family: Bacterial small subunit ribosomal RNA
Source: RNAcentral
UACGGAGGGUGCAAGCGUUGUCCGGAUUUAUUGGGUGUAAAGGGUGCGUAGGCGGGACGGUAAGUCCGAGGUGAAAGCCCGCAGCUUAACUGCGGAACUGCCUUGGAUACUGCCGACCUUGAGUCCCGGAGGGGUGGCUGGAAUUCCUGGUGUAGCGGUGAAAUGCGUAGAUAUCAGGAGGAACACCGGAGGUGUAGACGGGUCACUGGACGGGUACUGACGCUGAGGCACGAAAGCGUGGGGAGCAAACAGG